GACUGCGUCGCUUAGUGGUUAGAGCAUCUCGUUGUGGUUUUCUUUACUACCCCUGCUUUCGCAGGACUAGUAAAUGCCCCGAGAAGACGGGUGUUCGAUUCACCCCGCGGUCA
Molecule: transfer RNA, 113 nt
Filed under: Tulasnella calospora MUT 4182
Lineage: Eukaryota; Fungi; Basidiomycota; Agaricomycetes; Cantharellales; Tulasnellaceae
Rfam family: tRNA
About the family: Transfer RNA (tRNA) molecules are approximately 80 nucleotides in length. Their secondary structure includes four short double-helical elements and three loops (D, anti-codon, and T loops).
Source: Rfam by way of RNAcentral